This 301-nucleotide ribosomal RNA is filed under the name uncultured bacterium. RNAcentral describes it as "partial 16S ribosomal RNA". It matches the Rfam family "Bacterial small subunit ribosomal RNA", at positions 509 to 809 of the family's 1533-position model. The record is from RNAcentral.
CAGCAGCCGCGGUAAUACGGAGGGAGCUAGCGUUGUUCGGAAUUACUGGGCGUAAAGCGCGCGUAGGCGGUUACUCAAGUCAGAGGUGAAAGCCCGGGGCUCAACCCCGGAACUGCCUUUGAAACUAGGUGACUAGAAUCUUGGAGAGGUCAGUGGAAUUCCGAGUGUAGAGGUGAAAUUCGUAGAUAUUCGGAAGAACACCAGUGGCGAAGGCGACUGACUGGACAAGUAUUGACGCUGAGGUGCGAAAGCGUGGGGAGCAAACAGGAUUAGAUACCCCCGUAGUCCCUGUCUCUUAUAA